Molecule: ribosomal RNA, 442 nt
Filed under: uncultured bacterium
Lineage: Bacteria
Description: partial 16S ribosomal RNA
Rfam family: Bacterial small subunit ribosomal RNA
Source: RNAcentral
CCUACGGGUGGCAGCAGUGAGGGAUAUUGCACAAUGGGGGAAACCCUGAUGCAGCGACGCCGCGUGGGCGAAGAAGUAUUUCGGUAUGUAAAGCCCUAUCAGCAGGGAAGAAGAAAUGACGGUACCUGAGUAAGAAGCACCGGCUAAAUACGUGCCAGCAGCCGCGGUAAUACGUAUGGUGCAAGCGUUAUCCGGAUUUACUGGGUGUAAAGGGAGCGCAGGCGGCACGGCAAGCCUGAUGUGAAAGCCCGCGGCCCAACCGCGGGACUGCAUUGGGAACUACCGGGCUGGAGUGCCGGAGAGGUAGGCGGAAUUCCUAGUGUAGCGGUGAAAUGCGUAGAUAUUAGGAGGAACACCGGCGGCGAAGGCGGCCUGCUGGACUGAAACUGACGUUGAGGCACGAAGGCCAGGGGAGCGAAAGGGAUUAGAUACCCCGGUAGUC